Molecule: ribosomal RNA, 124 nt
Filed under: uncultured bacterium
Lineage: Bacteria
Description: partial 16S ribosomal RNA
Rfam family: Bacterial small subunit ribosomal RNA
Source: RNAcentral
AGUCGAACGCAGUACAAUACUUUGUGGCAAACGGGUGAGUAUAAUGUGGGAAUCUGCCUUUUGGUUUGGAAUAACACAGGGAAACUUGUGCUAAUACCGAAUAAGCCCUUACGGGGAAAGCUUU